CAAUCCGGAGGGAGCUGUGCUGCUGAGACCGGAGACCAAGGGCUGCUCCGGCUCGCAGUAGCUGCAGCGCUGAGACACGAACCUACAGCAUUACCACGAAGGAAUAAUGACGACUGCGAGUCUAAGGAAGCCGAGCGCACCAAAAGAGCUUAUGCUCAGCAUACACGUUGUAACAUGGAAUGUGGCCUCUGCAGCCCCCACUGUGGACCUCAGUGACCUACUUCAACUGAACAACGAAGACCUGAAUCUGGACAUAUAUAUCAUUGGGUAGGUGUCUAGGGGGCCCCACCCCCAUCCCUGUAGAGGACUAAUGUAACUUGUCCUCCCUCAUUUUGGAGUCUGAAGGUCUUGUUUUGAGCUUUCAUCCUCAGUGGGUCCUGUCUUGUGUUUCUUGUCCUGGGUCAGCAAUGGUCAUGGAUAGAAGGGCAGCAGCCACACAGCUGGGGAAGGGAGACCUCUUGGUUUUCAGAACCCAGGUCUGAUGCUAUGUGUGGGAGAGGCAGUGUCCUCCAGGCCAGGGAUGAGCCUCUGGCUUGGAAUGGUCAGUUUGCAGGAAAUGAAUUAUGGGAUCAUAAGCCUUCUUUCUGAUGCUGCCUUUGAGGACCCAUGGAGCAGUUUCUUCAUGGAUAU
This 630-nucleotide long non-coding RNA is filed under the name Rattus norvegicus (Norway rat). RNAcentral describes it as "long non-coding RNA NONRATT005712". Lineage: Eukaryota; Metazoa; Chordata; Mammalia; Rodentia; Muridae. The record is from RNAcentral.